Molecule: ribosomal RNA, 642 nt
Filed under: Rhizopus arrhizus
Lineage: Eukaryota; Fungi; Mucoromycota; Mucoromycetes; Mucorales; Rhizopodaceae
Description: Rhizopus oryzae partial large subunit ribosomal RNA
Rfam family: Eukaryotic large subunit ribosomal RNA
Source: RNAcentral
GUACGGCGAGUGANAGGAAGAGCUCAAAGUUGGAACCUGUUUGGCCUAGCUAAACCGGAUUGUAGACUGUAGAAGUGUUUUCCAGGCAAGCCGAGUAAAUAAGUCCUUUGGAACAGGGCAUCAUAGAGGGUGAGAAUCCCGUCUUUGGCUUGAGCAUUUGCCUUUUGUGAUACGCUUUCAAAGAGUCAGGUUGUUUGGGAAUGCAGCCUAAAUUGGGUGGUAAAUCUCACCUAAAGCUAAAUAUUGGCGAGAAACCGAUAGCGAACAAGUACCGUGAGGGAAAGAUGAAAAGAACUUUGAAAAGAGAGUUAAACAGUAUGUGAAAUUGUUAAAAGGGAACCGUUUGGAGCCAGACUGGNUUGUCUGUAAUCAAUCUAGGCUUCGGCCUGGAUGCACUUGCAGGCUAUGCCUGCCAACGACAAUUUGACUUGAGGGAAAAAACUAGGGGAAAUGUGGCCCACUUGUGGGUGUUAUAGUCCCUUAGAAAAUACCUUGGGUUGGAUUGAGGAACGCAGCGAAUGCUUAUUGGCGAGUUUUCCAGGAAGGUUUUCUGAGGUACUACGGUAUCAAGGUUGAUCUUUUUGGUUAUACUUCUAUUCGCUUAGGUUGUUGGCUUAAUGACUCUAAAUGACCCGUCUUGAA